UAUCAACUGACCUAGCAGACUUUGCCAAGAUGAUAGAUUAAAUUUCAAAGGAUGAAAUUAUG
RNAcentral lists this non-coding RNA (62 nucleotides) under unclassified sequences. The record is from RNAcentral.